This 421-nucleotide long non-coding RNA is filed under the name Bos taurus (domestic cattle). Its description in RNAcentral is "long non-coding RNA NONBTAT018775". Lineage: Eukaryota; Metazoa; Chordata; Mammalia; Artiodactyla; Bovidae. The record is from RNAcentral.
GAAACCAAUACUGAGACAAAUGCUGGUGCCCAUUCAGAUCAAGGGUACUUGUUAGGGAAAAAAAAGUUUGCACCCCCAAAUGUCCUGUAUCUUAUGUCAAUAUUGUAAUCCCUACUCUAGGCACUUGCCUUUAAACGAUGUUUUUCAGCCCUUCAGAAGGGUUCUACUACUGUCCUAUACAAUCAAGUAACUGAAAUUCUUGGGAAGACACUUUGCUCCUCAUCUUUCCCCCCCAAAACAAUGUUGUUUUGUUUUGUUUUUUUUCCUUAAUUUGCACGAAAACAAAAAUUCCAUAUCAAUGUGCCUUGCCCUGGAUAGCGAUUAUUUGUGGAAUUGUUGCACAUGCUCCUCUAUUGAAAGGGGUUUUUCCCUAGUCAAGCAUUUGGAGACACUUUUUGUAAAUGUGACUUUUAUGUCAGCC